CGGGGUGUGACGCAGUUGACAGCGUGCAUCGUUCGGGACAAUUAGGUCACUGGCUAAAGUCCAGUCACUCCGACCA
RNAcentral lists this transfer RNA (76 nucleotides) under SAR202 cluster bacterium. RNAcentral describes it as "tRNA-Pro". Lineage: Bacteria; Bacillati; Chloroflexota; Dehalococcoidia. The record is from RNAcentral.